UGGGCCCAGCUCGGACUGGUCCGCCGGGCCCAAGGGCUCUGGUGCCUUCUGGAAAGCGCUGGCUGGGACUUCACCCUCCUCCUGCAUGUGACGGACACAGCACUGAUCCUGGCAGCUCCUUACCCCCAGCAGCCCGAAACUCACUCCUUAAUUACACAAGGGAAACCUUUUACCUCCGCAGCCAGAGUCUGGGGGGAAAGGCAGGCGUGGGAAGAUGGGUUCUCUACCUGGCCAGUGCCAUGUUGCCUGUUUCUUUACUGUAACUGUGGUGACAAAGAAAAGGGAAGAUGGAGCCUCCAUGUUGAACAUACCUGGCCCCCAGCACUAACUCCCUCUCUGGAUAUCUGGAACAAGGAGGACCUUAAACUUAACAAUAAAGCCAAUGAUGGUUCUACCAGUCUCCCCAAAGCCUCAAGUUUAAAAGCCAUAUGAACUGGCUGAUAGUGGAAAAUGGAAGCCAUGAGGAAAUCAGAUUAGAGUACUACCUGGUGAAGCCUGGAGGACCUACCAAGAAAAGCAAACUUGGAUCUUUGCAAGGUUAGAAGAACGAAUGGGAUCCAAGAAAAAGACUGGUCAUAUUCAACGGCUAAGAGCGUUGGAGAAGGCCUGUGGAGUCUCAGCAGGUCAGGUCCAUGACUCAUGAGUAGACACCUGUGUUUCUACUGCCUGGUGCCAUAAUCAUAAACAAGAGUAAUCAGCAAAUGCCUUUCCUUUCUCCUGCUGAUGUUUUGCCCGUACUCAGACCCCUUGACUUCUUAGCUUCUACCCAAAGUGAGCUUGUCAUCAAAGUUCUCCAAAAAUCUGCAGUGUUCUCUUGAGCAAAUCUGCUUCCAAGACUAUAGCGCUCUGAUGCAUUGAGAUGACAGCAAGCGGCAUUUUUCAGUCCUGUUACCCAUAUGGCUGCUACCACUGCAUCCUGUUAAAUAAUGUCUUCAACCCAAGAAACCUGCUUCCUAGGGAAGUUUCUCUCUCUCUGCAUUUGUUCCCACUAGAGAAUGACCAUCACCAGAUUCCUGAACUGAAAAUGCUGUUGACACUUUGGAAACUCGGGCCUCUAUUAAUAGGGUGACCAACUAUCCUGGUUUACCUUGAGUACAGGAUUUUCAAUGCUAAAACCAGAAAAACCAGGAUGGUUGGUCAUCUGCCUCAGACCUAAUAAAUACCAGUCAAUAAUUCAGCCAUGAGCUUUCUUAAGACACUGUCUUUUCUUGACUGUUGAAUAGUCUAGGACUUGAGUAGCAGCUCUUUCUGCUACUGGACACUUGUUUUACUACCCUAUUUCUCUAGAUUUUAUUUUGUGGCUAAUAAUUAAGACAUAAAAUCAUGGGUUCUGGUUAUGCCAAAGCACUCACUCUUCAAAAGUUUCCAUCCAGAGUUGGAUAAUCCCACACAGAAGGUGUUCUUUCAACAGACCAGCAUCCAAUAGACCCAAUGCAGCAUUUUUCUUCCUGGUUCCACAUUAAUACAUCCUAUCUCUGCUAUGCUUAGGUCCCUGAUUUAUAAAUAUUUCAGACAUAUUUUCUCAGGACACAGGGAGUACUUAAACUUCCACAUAGCAGAGAUACGACAUACAAUAAGCUGUUAUCUGGAAACUCCUAGUGAUGCUUUGAGUACUUUACAGUAAUCUUUCUGGUCUUCCUCUCAACCCCAUUAAGUUUUUCUGUAACUAGCUGGUGUAUCUGUCUCCAUCUUUAAGGAAUAAGUCCCUAUUUGCUCAUGCUAUAAUCUCCCUCAUGCUCUCCGUCCCUCCUUCCCUCUCCUUCUCUCUUUCUGUCUCUCUCUCUCUCCACCCUGAUUGUGAGAUGCUACACCUUAAUAGUUUUCUAUACCUAGAUCCCUUUUGAAGGAGUAAUUUCAGCCAUCACUGAAAUCUAUGCUUUUUUAUCUUGUUAGAUUUAUUUAGGACCUAAUGACUGUUUCUGAGCUAAUAAUAACGCAAUCAGCUCAUAUUUUUCUGAUACUCUAAGAGCAAUUACAUCUAGUUGCAUCACCUUUUCCUUUUUUAUUCAUGUAUCUUAGGCUUCUCAAGAUAUGAGACUAGCACUUGAGCCUGAGAUAAGCCUUAAGAAUUCCAGGAUAGUCUCUCCAUAGUUCCCUUUCUUGGAUAAAGUCAUUUCAAAACAUCUUAGUGGAUCAGAUUUGGAGCAGCCUACUUACACUGGUGAAUACCACAACUAAUAAAUAAUUGUUCUGCACCCCACCCACAUCUAAAGGAUUCAGGGUGUCUUUUACAGAUAUAGGACUCUCCUUUCUCUGUUUCUCUUCUCUCUCUUCUCCUUGAUUAAAGCUUUGCUUCAGCUGUCCCUGCUCACUACGGCACUGCACCUCACCAGCAUCUUCAUGGCCCUCACAUGGCUCAUGUGCAUAUCCUAACUCUGAUACUAAGGGAGGAGACCACCCCUCAUAUUGUCUUAUGCCCAAUUUCUGCCUCCAAAGAAAGAAGAAGUAAAAACUAAAAGGCAGAAAUGAAAUCCACAAGCAGACAGCCCGGCGCCACACCCUGGGCCUGGUAGUUAAAGAUCGACCCCUGACCUAAUCGGUUAUUUGCAUAAGAAAAGCACUGUGAAGAUCCCUGUCCUGUUCUGUUCCAUUCUAAUUACCGGUGUAUGCAGCCCCCAGUCAUGUACCCCUGCUUGCUCAAUCGAUCACGACCCUCUCACGUGGACCCCCUUAGAGUUGUGGGCCCUUAAAAGGGACAGGAAUUGCUCACUCGGGGAGCUUGGUUGUUGGAGAUGUGAGUCUUGCUAAAGCUCCCAGCCGAAUAAAGCCCUUCCUUCUUAA
RNAcentral lists this long non-coding RNA (2781 nucleotides) under Homo sapiens (human). RNAcentral's name for it is "HSALNT0361148". Lineage: Eukaryota; Metazoa; Chordata; Mammalia; Primates; Hominidae. The record is from RNAcentral.